Salvelinus fontinalis (brook trout) is the source of this 181-nucleotide long non-coding RNA. RefSeq lists it as uncharacterized. The record is from RefSeq and is a predicted model, not a curated record. NCBI's taxonomy places the organism in Eukaryota, Metazoa, Chordata, Actinopteri, Salmoniformes, Salmonidae. The transcript has 2 exons.
UGGUGAUGAGGGAAGGUAACAAGCUGACGUCCUUAAUUAAUGGGAUCGAAUACGUCACAGAACUUAUAGACACAAACAUCCUCGUCAACACCAUGACUCUGGCUGGCAUCUCAUACAAGAGGACCAGCAAACGAAUAUGAAGAUCUACUGCACUCUUUGGAUUAAUAAAAUGUGAAUUGCA